UACGCAGGUGGCAAGCGUUAUCCGGAAUUAUUGGGCGUAAAGCGCGCGUAGGCGGUUUUUUAAGUCUGAUGUGAAAGCCCACGGCUCAACCGUGGAGGGUCAUUGGAAACUGGAAAACUUGAGUGCAGAAGAGGAAAGUGGAAUUCCAUGUGUAGCGGUGAAAUGCGCAGAGAUAUGGAGGAACACCAGUGGCGAAGGCGACUUUCUGGUCUGUAACUGACGCUGAUGUGCGAAAGCGUGGGGAUCAAACAGGAUUAGA
This 259-nucleotide ribosomal RNA is filed under the name uncultured Staphylococcus sp. RNAcentral describes it as "partial 16S ribosomal RNA". It matches the Rfam family "Bacterial small subunit ribosomal RNA", at positions 524 to 782 of the family's 1533-position model. The record is from RNAcentral. Lineage: Bacteria; Bacillati; Bacillota; Bacilli; Caryophanales; Staphylococcaceae.